This 265-nucleotide long non-coding RNA is filed under the name Elaeis guineensis (African oil palm). RNAcentral describes it as "long non-coding RNA (EGUI_LNC060649)". Lineage: Eukaryota; Viridiplantae; Streptophyta; Magnoliopsida; Arecales; Arecaceae. The record is from RNAcentral.
GGGCGUGCAUAGAAGAAAAAUUUUGAGAAAGAAAGAGGGGCAUGAGAAAGCCUUGUGCAUGAGGUGAAGGUCCAAAACCUUUCGAGAGAAAAAGAAAGAAAAGAAAGAAAAUUGGGCGCAGGGUUUUUGGUGUGUACCCUAGGGUUUCUACCUAGGGUUCGGGAAGUGAGAUUGGUGUGCCACGAGUGUCGUGAGUCUACCAAAUUUUAGGGAGAGAUCCAUCAGCCUCUUAACCAAUCAUGCAGGUGAUCCGAAGCAUCCGAGG